RNAcentral lists this ribosomal RNA (620 nucleotides) under uncultured bacterium. Its description in RNAcentral is "bacterial SSU rRNA". The stretch from base 1 to 539 matches the Rfam family "Bacterial small subunit ribosomal RNA", at positions 338 to 873 of the family's 1533-position model. The record is from RNAcentral.
CCUACGGGAGGCAGCAGUGGGGAAUUUUGGACAAUGGGCGCAAGCCUGAUCCAGCCAUGCCGCGUGCGGGAAGAAGGCCUUCGGGUUGUAAACCGCUUUUGUCAGGGAAGAAAAGGUUCUGGUUAAUACCUGGGACUCAUGACGGUACCUGAAGAAUAAGCACCGGCUAACUACGUGCCAGCAGCCGCGGUAAUACGUAGGGUGCAAGCGUUAAUCGGAAUUACUGGGCGUAAAGCGUGCGCAGGCGGUUAUGCAAGACAGAGGUGAAAUCCCCGGGCUCAACCUGGGAACUGCCUUUGUGACUGCAUAGCUAGAGUGCGGCAGAGGGGGAUGGAAUUCCGCGUGUAGCAGUGAAAUGCGUAGAUAUGCGGAGGAACACCGAUGGCGAAGGCAAUCCCCUGGGCCUGCACUGACGCUCAUGCACGAAAGCGUGGGGAGCAAACAGGAUUAGAUACCCUGGUAGUCCACGCCCUAAACGAUGUCAACUGGUUGUUGGGAGGGUUUCUUCUCAGUAACGUAGCUAACGCGUGAGUGACGCGNGGAGGACGGCGCGAGUAGUAACGUACAAUAGAGUUAGUACGGCGUGAGACGUAGCCGACGGACGACGACGAGGGAGGAGG